Molecule: ribosomal RNA, 430 nt
Filed under: uncultured bacterium
Lineage: Bacteria
Description: partial 16S ribosomal RNA
Rfam family: Bacterial small subunit ribosomal RNA
Source: RNAcentral
GUAGGGAAUAUUGGACAAUGGGCGAAAGCCUGAUCCAGCAACGCCGCGUGAGGGAUGACGGCCUUCGGGUUGUAAACCUCUUUCAGCAGGGACGAAGCGAAAGUGACGGUACCUGCAGAAGAAGGACCGGCCAACUACGUGCCAGCAGCCGCGGUAAUACGUAGGGUCCGAGCGUUGUCCGGAAUUAUUGGGCGUAAAGGGCUCGUAGGCGGUCUGUCGCGUCGGGAGUGAAAACUCAGGGCUCAACCCUGAGCGUGCUUCCGAUACGGGCAGACUAGAGGUAUGCAGGGGAGAACGGAAUUCCUGGUGUAGCGGUGGAAUGCGCAGAUAUCAGGAGGAACACCGGUGGCGAAGGCGGUUCUCUGGGCAUUACCUGACGCUGAGGAGCGAAAGCAUGGGGAGCGAACAGGAUUAGAAACCCGGGUAGUCC